CAGCAGCCACGGUAAUACAGAGGGUGCAAGCGUUAAUCGGAAUUACUGGGCGUAAAGCGCGCGUAGGUGGUUUGUUAAGUUGGAUGUGAAAGCCCCGGGCUCAACCUGGGAACUGCAUCCAAAACUGGCAAGCUAGAGUACGGUAGAGGGUGGUGGAAUUUCCUGUGUAGCGGUGAAAUGCGUAGAUAUAGGAAGGAACACCAGUGGCGAAGGCGACCACCUAGACUGAUACUGACACUGAGGUGCGAAAGCGUGGGGAGCAAACAGGAUUAGAUACCCGAGUAGUCCCUGUCUCUUAUAC
RNAcentral lists this ribosomal RNA (301 nucleotides) under uncultured bacterium. Its description in RNAcentral is "partial 16S ribosomal RNA". It matches the Rfam family "Bacterial small subunit ribosomal RNA", at positions 509 to 807 of the family's 1533-position model. The record is from RNAcentral.